GAUGAACGCUGGCGGCGUGCCUAAUACAUGCAAGUCGAGCGAACGGACGAGAAGCUUGCUUCUCUGAUGUUAGCGGCGGACGGGUGAGUAACACGUGGAUAACCUACCUAUAAGACUGGGAUAACUUCGGGAAACCGGAGCUAAUACCGGAUAAUAUUUUGAACUGCAUGGUUCAAAAGUGAAAGACGGUCUUGCUGUCACUUAUAGAUGGAUCCGCGCUGCAUUAGCUAGUUGGUAAGGUAACGGCUUACCAACGCAACGAUGCAUAGCCGACCUGAGAGGGUGAUCGGCCACACGGGCAGUGAGACACGGUCCAGACUCCUACGGGAGGCAGCAGUAGGGAAUCUUCCGCAAUGGGCGAAAGCCUGACGGAGCAACGCAGCGUGAGUGAUGAAGGUCUUCGGAUCGUAAAGCUCUGUUAUUAGGGAAGAACAUAUGUGUAAGUAACUGUGCACAUCUUGACGGUACCUAAUCAGAAAGCCACGGCUAACUACGUG
Molecule: ribosomal RNA, 497 nt
Filed under: uncultured bacterium
Lineage: Bacteria
Description: partial 16S ribosomal RNA
Rfam family: Bacterial small subunit ribosomal RNA
Source: RNAcentral